AGUCAGCACUCCACUUUCCUGCACACCUGUAAGCCCCAGGAACUGUCCAGGUUUGGGUUGAGAACAGUUCUCUGGGUGGUGGCUGUGCGAGAAACCCGAGGAGCAGAGAUCUCUGUGAAUUUGCCUCAUCCUGUUGUCCACCAUCCCCCAUCUCCUGGGGUUGACCCUUGCUCGGAGUCCUGCUGGAAUGAGAUCCAGGCCUCCCUACAUCCAGGAAGAACUAGGAGGGGGUCCUCUGAAUCCUUCCUGGAACACCUCACACAUUCCUUUCAUUGCUGCUGGAUGGAACAGCUCCCCCUCAGUGGAUUCCCAUCACUAGAUCACUCUACUAGAAACUUCACCCCAGGCUCUGUGCUGUUCAAGGUGGGCCUGUGGGUUCUCAGCUCAGCAAGCUUUCUGCCCGGGUAAGAAAGUGAGGUUCCUGGAUGCCUGAGUGGCUCAGCGGUUGAGCGUCUGCCUUUGGCUCAGGGAGUGAUCCUGGAGUUCCGCGAUCAAGUCCCACAUCGGGCUCCCUGCAUGGAGCCUGCUUCUCCCUCUGCCUGUGUCUCUGCCUCUCUCUCUGUGUCUCUCAUGAAUAAAUAAAUAAAAUCUUAAAAAAAGAGUGAGGUUCCCCUUCUGUCAGGCAUGCCCAGUUUCUCUAAGGAGUUCUGGAAUAGUUCCCAUUCUCCAUCAUGGCGGUAACUUCUCCACAGGAACACCGCACUCCUCACAGGGCUACGCCAACAUCCCCGCUCCUAAGAACUCCAUGUGUUUCUUUAUAGAGUGUCUCGCUAGAGUGUGGUCUUAGAGCCUCCUGUCCUCAGCUGGGGCCUUUGGUACAAUUCUACAAGCCUGAGACCUCAGGGGAAGUCCUACUCUAUAUCCUGCCAAGUAAAGUCAUGGCAGCUGCAUUUAAAGACACUGAGCAUAUUUAGUUUUGAAGGGAGAGAGACUUAGGAGCUCCACAAAGGCAGGGAGGGAGCUGCUAUUUGAGUUCUGUGUUGCCAGCUCCCAUCACAGGGCCUGCAUGGAGUAGUAGGUCGGGGGCAGAUUUCUUACAUGAGUGAGGGGCCCUGAGAUGACCUCCCCCCAACCCUGGGUUAGGUUGGGU
This 1090-nucleotide long non-coding RNA is filed under the name Canis lupus familiaris (dog). RNAcentral's name for it is "lncRNA (ENSCAFG00000059199.1, ENSCAFG00845012464.1)". The record is from RNAcentral. Lineage: Eukaryota; Metazoa; Chordata; Mammalia; Carnivora; Canidae.